This 713-nucleotide ribosomal RNA is filed under the name Pseudobutyrivibrio sp. R27. RNAcentral describes it as "bacterial SSU rRNA". It matches the Rfam family "Bacterial small subunit ribosomal RNA", at positions 24 to 736 of the family's 1533-position model. The record is from RNAcentral. Lineage: Bacteria; Bacillati; Bacillota; Clostridia; Lachnospirales; Lachnospiraceae.
UCAGGAUGAACGCUGGCGGCGUGCUUAACACAUGCAAGUCGAACGAAGCAAUUUUCUACGAUCCUUUCGGGGUGACGGAUUAUUGACUGAGUGGCGGACGGGUGAGUAACGCGUGGGUAACCUACCUUGUACAGGGGGACAACAGUUGGAAACGACUGCUAAUACCGCAUAAGCGCACAGCAUCGCAUGAUGCAGUGUGAAAAGUUUUUUCGGUACAAGAUGGACCCGCGUCUGAUUAGCUAGUUGGUGAGGUAACGGCCCACCAAGGCGACGAUCAGUAGCCGACCUGAGAGGGUGACCGGCCACAUUGGGACUGAGACACGGCCCAAACUCCUACGGGAGGCAGCAGUGGGGAAUAUUGCACAAUGGGCGAAAGCCUGAUGCAGCGACGCCGCGUGAGCGAAGAAGUAUUUCGGUAUGUAAAGCUCUAUCAGCAGGGAAGAUAAUGACGGUACCUGACUAAGAAGCACCGGCUAAAUACGUGCCAGCAGCCGCGGUAAUACGUAUGGUGCAAGCGUUAUCCGGAUUUACUGGGUGUAAAGGGAGCGUAGGCGGUUUUACAAGUCUGAUGUGAAAGCCCGGGGCUCAACUCCGGUAUUGCAUUGGAAACUGUAGAACUAGAGUGUCGGAGGGGUAAGUGGAAUUCCUAGUGUAGCGGUGAAAUGCGUAGAUAUUAGGAGGAACACCAGUGGCGAAGGCGGCUUACUGGACGA